GAUGAACGCUGGCGGCGUGCCUAAUACAUGCAAGUCGAGCGAACGGACGAGAAGCUUGCUUCUCUGAUGUUAGCGGCGGACGGGCGAGUAACUCGUGGAUAACCUACCUAUAAGACUGGGAUAACUUCGGGAAACCGUAGCUAAUACCGGAUAAUAUCUUGAACCGCAUGGUUCAAAAGUGAAAGACGGUCUUGCUGUCACUUAUAGAUGGAUCCGCGCUGCAUUAGCUAGUUGGUAAGGUAACGGCUUACCAAGGCAACGAUGCAUAGCCGACCUGAGAGGAUGGUCGGCCACACUGGAACUGAGACAGGGUCCAGACUCCUACGGGAGGCAGCGGUAGGGAAUCUUCCGCGAUGGGGGAAAGCGUGACGGAGCAACGCCGCGGGAGUGAUGAAGGUCUACGGAUCGGAAAACUCUGUUAUUAGGGAAAAACAUAUGUGUAGGUAACUGUGCACAUAUUGACGGUACCUAAUCAGAAAGCCACGGCUAACUACGUG
Molecule: ribosomal RNA, 497 nt
Filed under: uncultured bacterium
Lineage: Bacteria
Description: partial 16S ribosomal RNA
Rfam family: Bacterial small subunit ribosomal RNA
Source: RNAcentral